AUCUAACUGACGAGUCUCAAAUAGGACGAAAAGCGCGUAUUGGAU
RNAcentral lists this non-coding RNA (45 nucleotides) under Schistosoma margrebowiei. Lineage: Eukaryota; Metazoa; Platyhelminthes; Trematoda; Strigeidida; Schistosomatidae. The record is from RNAcentral.